This 520-nucleotide ribosomal RNA is filed under the name uncultured Glomus. RNAcentral describes it as "SSU rRNA". It matches the Rfam family "Eukaryotic small subunit ribosomal RNA", at positions 569 to 1091 of the family's 1831-position model. Lineage: Eukaryota; Fungi; Glomeromycota; Glomeromycetes; Glomerales; Glomeraceae. The record is from RNAcentral.
AGCAGCCGCGGUAAUUCCAGCUCCAAUAGCGUAUAUUAAAGUUGUUGCAGUUAAAAAGCUCGUAGUUGAAUUUCGGGAUCAAUACGUCGGUCGUGCUUCGGUACGUACUGGCGUAAUUGAUUUCUCCCCUUCUGACGAACCAUGAUGUCAUUAACUUGGUGUCAUGGGAAAUCAGGACUGUUACUUUGAAAAAUUAGAGUGUUUAAAGCAGGCUCACGCUUGAAUACAUUAGCAUGGAAUAAUGAAAUAGGACGUUCGAUCCUAUUUUGUUGGUUUUUAGGAUCAACGUAAUGAUUAAUAGGGAUAGUUGGGGGCAUUAGUAUUCAAUUGUCAGAGGUGAAAUUCUUGGAUUUAUUGAAGACUAACUACUGCGAAAGCAUUUGCCAAGGAUGUUUUCAUUAAUCAAGAACGAAAGUUAGGGGAUCGAAGACGAUCAGAUACCGUCGUAGUCUUAACCAUAAACUAUGCCGACUAGGGAUCGGAUGAUGUUAAUUUUUAAUGUACUCAUUCGGCGCCUUAA